RNAcentral lists this ribosomal RNA (253 nucleotides) under uncultured bacterium. RNAcentral describes it as "partial 16S ribosomal RNA". It matches the Rfam family "Bacterial small subunit ribosomal RNA", at positions 524 to 776 of the family's 1533-position model. The record is from RNAcentral.
UACGUAGGGUGCGAGCGUUAAUCGGAAUUACUGGGCGUAAAGCGUGCGCAGGCGGUUUUGUAAGCCAGAUGUGAAAUCCCCGGGCUCAACCUGGGAAUGGCAUUUGGGACUGCAAGGCUGGAGUGCGGCAGAGGAGACUGGAAUUCCUGGUGUAGCAGUGAAAUGCGUAGAUAUCAGGAGGAAUACCGAUGGCGAAGGCAGGUCUCUGGGCUGACACUGACGCUCAUGCACGAAAGCGUGGGGAGCAAACGGG